CCAAAGGCUCUUUUCAGAGACACCUAAUAAAUGAUAAUAAACACAGU
This is a non-coding RNA of Salmo salar (Atlantic salmon), 47 nucleotides long. The record is from Rfam. Lineage: Eukaryota; Metazoa; Chordata; Actinopteri; Salmoniformes; Salmonidae.